CCCCCCCCCCUUUUUCUUUUCUAUUGAGCUUUUAGAUAUUGUAAGUUUCUGAUAUCAAUUAAUAUUAGAAUUAUUCUUGAAUAAAUUUGUUUUAUUUUCUUUCGAAUAAGACGCUACAUCACUAGCUGUACCUGUAGACCCUGGAACAUGAUCAGGACAUCAAGCUUACCUCGUGACAACCUAAAGGAAAUCUUCCAUAUGUCUACUUUAAUUUUUGCUUUUCUUAAAUCUUCGGAUUAUACCGGUAGAUUAAGCAUGUAACUACAUAGCCUACAAGUCUUUGAUCAGUGACAGAGUAAAUAAUUUGUUUUUGACACUAUUGUUUUAGUUUCCUCAAUGCUUUUUUCUUUUAUUGGGUUUUGAGUGUGGUGUUAUAAACUGCAUACAUUUACGCUUGUAUUUUGAACUGAUCCAACAUACUUUCCAUUUUCUAAAGGUUAUGAGUUCUUUACACCACAAUAAAUAAAUAAAACAUUGACACGAUUCAAACUUUGUUUUACUUCUCUUUGAACGAAGUGAUUUCUCUUCCAAUCGACACUAAUUAGAGCCUCACCUCUACAAAUUGACACUUAUUAGAGCCUCACCUCUGCCAAUUGACACUUAUUAGAGCCUCACCUCUACAAAU
This is a non-coding RNA of Biomphalaria pfeifferi, 625 nucleotides long. The record is from the annotation of a GenBank genome assembly. Lineage: Eukaryota; Metazoa; Mollusca; Gastropoda; Planorbidae.